AACGAUGAAUCCCAGGUACUCGACGCA
Molecule: non-coding RNA, 27 nt
Filed under: Drosophila melanogaster (fruit fly)
Lineage: Eukaryota; Metazoa; Arthropoda; Insecta; Diptera; Drosophilidae
Source: RNAcentral